GGGAGUAAAAGUCGUAACAAGGUUUCCGUAGGUGAACCUGCGGAAGGAUCAUUAUUGUAUAACCGAGGUGCGAGGGCUGUCGCUGACCCGAAAGGUCGUGCACGCCCGAGUGCCCUCACACACAUCCAUCUCACCCCUAUGUGCACCACCGCGUGGGUCCCCCUUUGGCUUGUUCGGAGGGGGGCUUACGUUUUCACACAAACUUUGUAUGCAGUGUAGAAUGUAUUUUUUGUUUUUGCGAUCACGCAAUCAAUACAACUUUCAACAACGGAUCUCUUGGCUCUU
This 285-nucleotide unclassified non-coding RNA is filed under the name plant metagenome. RNAcentral's name for it is "partial contains small subunit ribosomal RNA, internal transcribed spacer 1, and 5.8S ribosomal RNA". The stretch from base 1 to 54 matches the Rfam family "Eukaryotic small subunit ribosomal RNA", at positions 1778 to 1831 of the family's 1831-position model. The record is from RNAcentral.